CCGAUCGCUAGAAACAGGCAAUUUGCUGUUCUGCCACUAUACUGGCGAAAACACGACCAGUAGAUCGAAAACACUAAGUCUAAACACAGAAAAAUGGAGAAUAACACUCGAGAGCCAUUAACUGAAGAAUCCAAUAACUAACUAACUUAGGUUACUGCUCUGAGUACUACCAAAGGUAGAAAGAUACCGUAGCCCUUUGUCGUUUCCGCAAGGCUGGAACAAUUGGCGACGAAGACGAACAUGAGCAGUGAGAUCUUAAGCACACAAAAAUAAAUAAAUAAACCAUCAGCUUCAUGUGUGCUAAAAUUAUCUUGAUGGGCACACGGCCAACAGCCUUCUACGACGCAGAAGAUUGCCCCACGAAGACCGUCAAAUUGCUAAGACUUACGCAAUUAUUACCUAACUUUAACGGUUUGAUGCACUGCUAGUUGUAAGACAAGAUUGCAUCUAUUGUACUAACAAUUGAGGAAAAGUCCAAAAAUAAAUUCUUCUUCCUAUGAA
Long non-coding RNA from Daphnia magna, 501 nucleotides. RefSeq lists it as uncharacterized. The record is from RefSeq and is a predicted model, not a curated record. The transcript has 2 exons. NCBI's taxonomy places the organism in Eukaryota, Metazoa, Arthropoda, Branchiopoda, Diplostraca, Daphniidae.